GGAAAGCCGCCGGCUCGCCGCCUGCACUAGUGCCGGAACGUGUGCGAGAGGGAGCGAGGGAGACACACGCACUCACACACCCGCACACACGGGAGCGCCGCGAGGGGAGGGGGGAGAGGGGAGGGGAGGGCAGCCGCUCUCCGCCGCCCACGUUUGCACGCCUGGGCGCUCAGGGUGCGGGGCGAAGGGACUCCUUUUUGCUUCUCCGCGAUCUCAGCAGUUGAAGCUCCGCGUCACGAAAGGUCCGGACAGCAGUUAAUGAACACAGCGAACCGGGUGGGCCAAGUGGGGUCGGAGCAGGGCUGAACGUCCGCUCUGCAGCCGGCCCGCGGCAGGGACAGACCUCUCUUGCCAUUGCCCCCUCCAGCCCUCGAGACCAGUCCCCACCCUACCGGAGCCUGGGGCAGCGCGCUGCCAGAGCGGGAGUUGGGGUUUCUGCAAGCCUUUGCCUCUCCCUAGUGGUGAUACUCGCAGCCAGGAGAAGAGGUCAAACCCAUUGCUACAGGUUCCCAAACUGAGUCCAUGGGUCAAGUGGCUUGUCUGAGGCUGUUGCUCGACCCAUGAGCUGAGCCUACACUCUCUUCCUGUUGGUCACUCUUUCCCCAACCCCAUCCCCACUGCGCAGAAAGGCGCUGGACAGCCCCAGCACUGGAUGGCAACUCUUUGCUAGACUUUUUUUUUCCCCCCUGCGGAGCCUGGAGGGCAUUAGAAAGCUGUCUGAACCUCUGAGACUCAGCUUUACUGUAACCCCUGUGUUGAAAUCUCUGUGCUGCAGCUACUAUGGAAGCAACUGGAUUUGAGGCCUAUUAUUGCAGCAUAUCCUAGCCCACGCAUCCCUAUACAACACUGAGGUUGUCAGCUGAAAAGAUGGACAGAACAUCAUUGGGCUACUCAAAGAGCUAUGCUCAAGGCCUUCCCAUCUCUGGUCUUCCAGUAAGGUGAGGGCUGGGAGCUGAAGAUGGAAGGAGCAGCACAGGUCAACAUGUGAGAGAUAUGACAAGUGGCCAUUCCUAACUGAUGUCAUCAAGGUGCCUCUAAACAUAGGAUUUAGGCCAAGCACCUCUAGUUCUCCAAAAGCAGUUGGGAGAAGAUGCAGAUACAGGUUCAGGCACAUGGGACUGGAGCUGGUGGAGCCAUCUGAAUCUCUCCUCGUUCACUCCUCUGGUGCCUAUGGUGCAAGCCAUCCAAGUGGCUAGGAUAUCCAAAGUCUACUGAGGUCUAAAAAUGCUAAAGGUAACAUCAGUGUCAAAGAAGCUAUUGCCAGAAAAAAAAGAACAAAC
Molecule: long non-coding RNA, 1280 nt
Organism: Cercocebus atys (sooty mangabey)
Lineage: Eukaryota; Metazoa; Chordata; Mammalia; Primates; Cercopithecidae
Exons: 5
Source: RefSeq, a predicted model, not a curated record